CAGUCGAGCGGUAGAGAGGUGCUUGCACCUCUUGAGAGCGGCGGACGGGUGAGUAAAGCCUAGGAAUCUGCCUGGUAGUGGGGGAUAACGCUCGGAAACGGACGCUAAUACCGCAUACGUCCUACGGGAGAAAGCAGGGGACCUUCGGGCCUUGCGCUAUCAGAUGAGCCUAGGUCGGAUUAGCUAGUUGGUGAGGUAAUGGCUCACCAAGGCGACGAUCCGUAACUGGUCUGAGAGGAUGAUCAGUCACACUGGAACUGAGACACGGUCCAGACUCCUACGGGAGGCAGCAGUGGGGAAUAUUGGACAAUGGGCGAAAGCCUGAUCCAGCCAUGCCGCGUGUGUGAAGAAGGUCUUCGGAUUGUAAAGCACUUUAAGUUGGGAGGAAGGGCAUUAACCUAAUACGUUAGUGUUUUGACGUUACCGACAGAAUAAGCACCGGCUAACUCUGUGCCAGCAGCCGCGGUAAUACAGAGGGUGCAAGCGUUAAUCGGAAUUACUGGGCGUAAAGCGCGCGUAGGUGGUUCGUUAAGUUGGAUGUGAAAUCCCCGGGCUCAACCUGGGAACUGCAUUCAAAACUGUCGAGCUAGAGUAUGGUAGAGGG
Molecule: ribosomal RNA, 604 nt
Filed under: uncultured bacterium
Lineage: Bacteria
Description: bacterial SSU rRNA
Rfam family: Bacterial small subunit ribosomal RNA
Source: RNAcentral